RNAcentral lists this ribosomal RNA (253 nucleotides) under uncultured bacterium. RNAcentral's name for it is "partial 16S ribosomal RNA". It matches the Rfam family "Bacterial small subunit ribosomal RNA", at positions 524 to 776 of the family's 1533-position model. The record is from RNAcentral.
UACGGGGGGGGCAAGCGUUGUUCGGAAUUACUGGGCGUAAAGGGCUCGUAGGCGGCCAACUAAGUCAGACGUGAAAUCCCCAGGCUCAACCUGGGAACUGCGUCUGAUACUGGUUGGCUUGAAUCCGGGAGAGGGAUGCAGAAUUCCAGGUGUAGCGGUGAAAUGCGCAGAUAUCAGGAGGAACACCGGUGGCGAAGGCGGGUCUCUGGGCAGUAACUGACGCUGAGGAGCGAAAGCGUGGGGAGCGAACAGG